CCUACGGGUGGCAGCAGUGGGGAAUAUUGGACAAUGGGCGAAAGCCUGAUCCAGCCAUGCCGCGUGUGUGAAGAAGGCCUUCGGGUUGUAAAGCACUUUCAGUGGGGAAGAAAGCCUUGGGGCUAAUACCCUCGAGGAAGGACAUCACCCACAGAAGAAGCACCGGCUAACUCCGUGCCAGCAGCCGCGGUAAUACGGAGGGUGCGAGCGUUAAUCGGAAUUACUGGGCGUAAAGCGCGCGUAGGCGGUCUGAUAAGCCGGUUGUGAAAGCCCCGGGCUCAACCUGGGAACGGCAUCCGGAACUGUCAGGCUAGAGUGCAGGAGAGGAAGGUAGAAUUCCCGGUGUAGCGGGGAAAUGCGUAGAGAUCGGGAGGAAUACCAGUGGCGAAGGCGGCCUUCUGGACUGACACUGACGCUGAGGUGCGAAAGCGUGGGUAGCAAACAGGAUUAGAUACCCUUAGUAGUC
RNAcentral lists this ribosomal RNA (466 nucleotides) under Vreelandella stevensii. RNAcentral's name for it is "partial 16S ribosomal RNA". It matches the Rfam family "Bacterial small subunit ribosomal RNA", at positions 338 to 795 of the family's 1533-position model. Lineage: Bacteria; Pseudomonadati; Pseudomonadota; Gammaproteobacteria; Oceanospirillales; Halomonadaceae. The record is from RNAcentral.